UGAGGAAUAUUGGUCAAUGGGCGGAAGCCUGAACCAGCCAAGUAGCGUGAGGGAUGACUGCCCUAUGGGUUGUAAACCUCUUUUAUAAGGGAAUAAAAUACGGGACGUGUCCUGUUUUGCAUGUACCUUAUGAAUAAGGACCGGCUAAUUCCGUGCCAGCAGCCGCGGUAAUACGGAGGGUGCAAGCGUUAAUCGGAAUAACUGGGCGUAAAGGGCAUGCAGGCGGUCCAUCAAGUAGGAUGUGAAAUCCCCGGGCUCAACCUGGGAACAGCAUACUAAACUGGUGGACUAGAGUAUUGCAGGGGGGAGACGGAAUUCCAGGUGUAGCGGUGGAAUGCGUAGAUAUCUGGAAGAACACCAAAGGCGAAGGCAGUCUCCUGGGCAAAUACUGACGCUCAUAUGCGAAAGCGUGGGUAGCAAACAGGAUUAGAUACCCUGGUAGU
RNAcentral lists this ribosomal RNA (443 nucleotides) under uncultured Succinivibrio sp. RNAcentral describes it as "bacterial SSU rRNA". It matches the Rfam family "Bacterial small subunit ribosomal RNA", at positions 355 to 794 of the family's 1533-position model. The record is from RNAcentral. Lineage: Bacteria; Pseudomonadati; Pseudomonadota; Gammaproteobacteria; Aeromonadales; Succinivibrionaceae.